Molecule: ribosomal RNA, 470 nt
Filed under: uncultured Desulfocapsa sp.
Lineage: Bacteria; Pseudomonadati; Thermodesulfobacteriota; Desulfobulbia; Desulfobulbales; Desulfocapsaceae
Description: bacterial SSU rRNA
Rfam family: Bacterial small subunit ribosomal RNA
Source: RNAcentral
AGAAUUGACGGGGCCGCACAAGCGGUGGAGCAUGUGGUUAAUUCGACGCAACGCGAAGAACCUUACCAGGGCUUGACAUCCCUUGAAGCAGCUAGAGAUAGCUGUGUCCUUCGGGACAAGGAGACAGGUGGUGCAUGGUUGUCGUCAGCUCGUGUCGUGAGAUGUUGGGUUAAGUCCCGCAACGAGCGCAACCCUUGUCUUUAGUUGCCAUCAUUCAGUUGGGCACUCUAAAGAGACUGCCGGUGUCAAACCGGAGGAAGGUGGGGAUGACGUCAAGUCCUCAUGGCCUUUAUGACCAGGGCUACACACGUACUACAAUGGCCGGUACAAAGGGCAGCCACUUAGCGAUAAGGAGCCAAUCCCGUAAAGCCGGUCUCAGUCCGGAUUGGAGUCUGCAACUCGACUCCAUGAAGUUGGAAUCGCUAGUAAUCGCAGAUCAGCACGCUGCGGUGAAUACGUUCCCGGGCCUU